Molecule: transfer RNA, 81 nt
Filed under: Cercophora newfieldiana
Lineage: Eukaryota; Fungi; Ascomycota; Sordariomycetes; Sordariales; Lasiosphaeriaceae
Rfam family: tRNA
About the family: Transfer RNA (tRNA) molecules are approximately 80 nucleotides in length.
Source: Rfam by way of RNAcentral
GCCCGCUUGGCUCAGUGGUAGAGUGUGUCACUCGUAUGACGAGUAAUGAUAAGGUCGUCAGUUCGAUUCUGGCAGUGGGCA